GAUGAACGCUAGCGGCAGGCCUAACACAUGCAAGUCGAGGGAGAAGCCUUUCGGGGCAGAAACCGGCGCACGGGUGCGUAACGCGUAUGCGACCUACCUUUCACAGGGGGAUAGCCCGAAGAAAUUUGGAUUAAUACCCCAUAAUAUUGUUGGAUGGCAUCAUUUGACAAUUAAAACUGCGGUGGUGAGAGAUGGGCAUGCGUCCUAUUAGCUAGUUGGAGUGGUAACGGCACCCCAAGGCUACGAUAGGUAGGGGUCCUGAGAGGGAGAUCCCCCACACUGGUACUGAGACAGGGACCAGACUCCUACGGGAGGCAGCAGUGAGGAAUAUUGGUCAAUGGUCGGAAGACUGAACCAGCCAUGCCGCGUGCAGGAAGAAUGCCCUAUGGGUUGUAAACUGCUUUUAUAUGGGAAGAAUAAAGGUGUACGUGUACA
Molecule: ribosomal RNA, 435 nt
Filed under: Capnocytophaga gingivalis
Lineage: Bacteria; Pseudomonadati; Bacteroidota; Flavobacteriia; Flavobacteriales; Flavobacteriaceae
Description: bacterial SSU rRNA
Rfam family: Bacterial small subunit ribosomal RNA
Source: RNAcentral